Molecule: ribosomal RNA, 109 nt
Filed under: Treponema sp.
Lineage: Bacteria; Pseudomonadati; Spirochaetota; Spirochaetia; Treponematales; Treponemataceae
Source: RNAcentral
GCCGGUGGCCAUAGUGGAGAGGUAAUACCCGUUCCCAUUCCGAACACGGAAGUCAAGCUCUCUUACGUCGAUGAUACUGCACUCGCGGGAAAGUAGAAAGCUGCCGGCU